UACAGAGGGUGCGAGCGUUAAUCGGAAUUACUGGGCGUAAAGCGUGCGUAGACGGUAGCGUAAGUCAGUUGUGAAAUCCCCGGGCUCAACCCGGGAACUGCUUCUGAUACUGGCGGACUUGAGGCCAGUAGGGGUCACUAGAACUGACGGUGGAGCGGUGAAAUGCGUAGAUAUCGUCAGGAAUGCCGGUGGUGAAGACGGGUGACUGGGCUGGUUCUGACACUGAGGCACGAAAGCGUGGGGAGCGAACGGG
This 253-nucleotide ribosomal RNA is filed under the name uncultured bacterium. RNAcentral describes it as "partial 16S ribosomal RNA". It matches the Rfam family "Bacterial small subunit ribosomal RNA", at positions 524 to 776 of the family's 1533-position model. The record is from RNAcentral.